Molecule: non-coding RNA, 261 nt
Organism: Labrus bergylta (ballan wrasse)
Lineage: Eukaryota; Metazoa; Chordata; Actinopteri; Labriformes; Labridae
Source: RefSeq, a predicted model, not a curated record
GAGCAAGCCCGCGUAAGUCAUUUGGACGCUGCCUACCUCCAGAAGAUCAUCGACUGUGGGAUCGGUGACGCAGAAGAAGUGAAGCAUCCAUGACUGAACACCGAAUUGGUUAGAAAGGUGUUUUAUGGUGGGGGGAAAGUGAAGCAACUCCUGUACUGGACUUGAAAAGGUAAUGGUGCUUCGACAGACGAAAUCUGCGCUAUAGCAUGCUAUGUUUCUGUUUUAACUCUGAAUAAUCAAUAAAGUAAUUGAUUUCCUAUA